RNAcentral lists this ribosomal RNA (480 nucleotides) under Enterococcus gallinarum. Its description in RNAcentral is "bacterial SSU rRNA". It matches the Rfam family "Bacterial small subunit ribosomal RNA", at positions 1 to 463 of the family's 1533-position model. Lineage: Bacteria; Bacillati; Bacillota; Bacilli; Lactobacillales; Enterococcaceae. The record is from RNAcentral.
UUAUGAGAGUUUGAUCCUGGCUCAGGACGAACGCUGGCGGCGUGCCUAAUACAUGCAAGUCGAACGCUUUUUCUUUCACCGGAGCUUGCUCCAUCGAAAGAAAAAGAGUGGCGAACGGGUGAGUAACACGUGGGUAACCUGCCCAUCAGAAGGGGAUAACACUUGGAAACAGGUGCUAAUACCGUAUAACACUAUUUUCCGCAUGGAAGAAAGUUGAAAGGCGCUUUUGCGUCACUGAUGGAUGGACCCGCGGUGCAUUAGCUAGUUGGUGAGGUAACGGCUCACCAAGGCCACGAUGCAUAGCCGACCUGAGAGGGUGAUCGGCCACACUGGGACUGAGACACGGCCCAGACUCCUACGGGAGGCAGCAGUAGGGAAUCUUCGGCAAUGGACGAAAGUCUGACCGAGCAACGCCGCGUGAGUGAAGAAGGUUUUCGGAUCGUAAAACUCUGUUGUUAGAGAAGAACAAGGAUGAGAGUA